This is a long non-coding RNA of Hibiscus syriacus, 393 nucleotides long. RefSeq lists it as uncharacterized. The record is from RefSeq and is a predicted model, not a curated record. Lineage: Eukaryota; Viridiplantae; Streptophyta; Magnoliopsida; Malvales; Malvaceae. The transcript has 2 exons.
AGCAUGACUCAGGUGGCUUCGUUUGGAAGAGAAUUAUGCUCACUUCUACCCGUAAAGCCAACGCUAAGAAGCGUCUCCGCGCUUUUGGCAGAAUGAAGCCAUUUUGAGGGCAUGUUCAGAACCGCCUCCUUCGAAAGCAACCGAAGUAGCCGGUGUUGAGAAAAACGUUGAACAUCCAACUUAAAUGACAGUUAAAGAAGACCCUACAUGAGCCACGGAGGAAUUUGGUGACCUUCGGGUUAAUGUAGCAGAAAUUUUUACAAUCCUAGAUUUCAAUUUAGUUGUAUGGGAUCAUUGGCCACUUUUUCCCCAAUGUUGUUAAAGACCAUUGCUAUGAGCUAGUAGUUGGUCAAUGGACGUAGUGCAAUCAUAAUCACAGAUCUCUUAUCAGUA